CUGGCGGCGUGCUUAACACAUGCAAGUCGAACGAUGAAGCCUAGCUUGCUAGGUGGAUUAGUGGCGAACGGGUGAGUAAUACGUGAGUAACCUACCUUUAACUCUGGGAUAAGCCUGGGAAACUGGGUCUAAUACCGGAUACGACCAAUCUCCGCAUGGGGUGUUGGUGGAAAGCGUUAUGUAGUGGUUAUAGAUGGGCUCACGGCCUAUCAGCUUGUUGGUGAGGUAACGGCUCACCAAGGCGACGACGGGUAGCCGGCCUGAGAGGGUGACCGGCCACACUGGGACUGAGACACGGUCGACGCGUGAGUGAAGAAGGUUUUCGGAUCGUAAAGCUCUGUUGUAAGUCAAGAACGGGUGUGAGAGUGGAAAGUUCACACU
RNAcentral lists this ribosomal RNA (381 nucleotides) under uncultured Rothia sp. RNAcentral describes it as "bacterial SSU rRNA". It matches the Rfam family "Bacterial small subunit ribosomal RNA", at positions 36 to 470 of the family's 1533-position model. The record is from RNAcentral. Lineage: Bacteria; Bacillati; Actinomycetota; Actinomycetes; Micrococcales; Micrococcaceae.